This 1625-nucleotide long non-coding RNA is filed under the name Helianthus annuus (common sunflower). Its description in RNAcentral is "hypothetical non coding rna". Lineage: Eukaryota; Viridiplantae; Streptophyta; Magnoliopsida; Asterales; Asteraceae. The record is from RNAcentral.
GUUUCUCAACACCCCUCGAAACCCUAACCUACCGGCGGCAGCCCUCUCCUCCCAUUCACUAAAAUUUCCCUCCCGUGUUUUUACGCCCUCGACUCAGACCCUUCACCACACCGCCGUCCCCGGCGGACGAACCCCCUCUUGCUUCUCGCUCUUUAAAUCUCACAUAGUAGAUACGUAUAUGCAUGUUCAUCUGAUCAUUACAACUUCGGAGUUUUGAGUGACAUAGUUGUCGGUAAAUUUCCUCUUUAUUUCUUUUGCCGGAAAAUAUCCUUUCAGGCUCUAUUACCACAAAUACUCACGCUUUGUCUUUGUUGCAUGUUUGGCUCAGUCUGUUCUUUUUUUAAUCACGGCGUUGGAUCUGUGGGCAUUAUGUCCUGGUAAGUGGUUUUUAUUAGGUUAACUUCUAGGGUUUAUCUCUCUGUGUGUUUGGUUUUAGUUGUAUUUAAAUUAUACGUUUUUUGUUAAGGAAUAGCUCUAAAGAUUGAUGCAAUGCAGGGUUAGGUUUUUUUAUGUGACAAAGGUUGGGGUCUUUUAUGUACAGUUAAAUAACAACAAUAAUCUAGUUUUAUGGAUUGUGAAUUUGGGGCUUUGCUGACAUGAUUGCUUUGUUCAAUCAUGCACACCACAUGUUUGACAAUAUGUCUAACAGAGAUUCCAUGUAGCCAUGUAGAGUUUUUUUUGUUUGCUUUUGUGUUUAAGUAAUUUGUAACUUUGUUACUUAACUAUUGUUAUGCAUCAGUUUUUCAUGAAACCAAUCAAUUUGUUGAAGUGAGUAAAUAAAAAGUAGAAUUCUUAUCUACUAAAGAAGCAGGUGAGUUGGUUGUUUAUAAUUCAAUUGAAUUGUUAUCUAAUGUUGCUGCUGUCUGUCAUCUAUAUUUUUUAAUUCAAAGUACAGACAUCUGUAUUUGCUUGUGUAGUUGUACUGCAGGUCACAAUCGAAGGGUUUGAAAGAUAUAAAAACAAGUUUGUGGCCGAAGACUUCAGUCUUAAAGUUAACUUUCUUUUUGGUAUGUUGAAAAGAAAAAGGGGCGAAAGCAGUAUUGCUUUUAUGGUUGGAAACCAAGGUUUUGCCUCUUGUUUUUUGGGGUUUUUAUUUUAGACCUAGGCUUAGGCAAGAAGAGGGACGAAUACAGAUGAUAGCAGCGGCGAUGUUGGCUUCCGGCAAUGAGCACACCGGGUUAGACAUUGCACGUUUCUGGUCUGUCCGAUUCCUACAGACCUGAGAACGGUCCAUGACUUUGUUAUGGAAAGAAGAUGAGAAACAUCCGCAAUCAAAAAUUGAAGAAUUAGUCUUAAAAUUAAUGUGGGAAUUGAUUCACAAGGCGUUUAAUGGCCCGGAAUGAAAUCGUUAAAAAUGUCUCAAGGCGGCAUCUACGGAUUGGGAUGCAAGGUUUGACGAGCCCAGUUCGGGUUGCAAGGUGUAUGAAUCGGCUGGUUUGACAAGUUUUUGGGUUGAAAACUUUAUUGGAUUCAUUUAGAGAACAUGUAUAUUGUGUCAAACUGUAUAAGUUUGUGUUUCGUUUUUUUUUUCAUUCGAGAAACAUGUACUUUUCGGAAACGUUUUCAAUAUUAGUUGAAAAUUUGUUGUUGGGGGUAUUUAUUAUGAAAUAUAAAUGAAAAAUCAU